Molecule: ribosomal RNA, 253 nt
Filed under: uncultured bacterium
Lineage: Bacteria
Description: partial 16S ribosomal RNA
Rfam family: Bacterial small subunit ribosomal RNA
Source: RNAcentral
UACGAAGGGGGCUAGCGUUGUUCGGAAUUACUGGGCGUAAAGCGCGCGCAGGCGGCUUUCCAAGUCAGUGGUGAAAGCCCGGAGCUCAACUCCGGAAUUGCCAUUGAAACUGUAAAGCUUGAGUACGAGAGAGGUGAGUGGAAUUCCCAGUGUAGAGGUGAAAUUCGUAGAUAUUGGGAAGAACACCGGUGGCGAAGGCGGCUCACUGGCUCGUUUCUGACGCUGUAGCGCGAAAGCGUGGGGAUCAAACAGG